CAGAUUGUAAGCAGGCUGUGUAGCAACAAGUCAUGUGACACAGAGCUGCAGAAGAGCUAAGAAGGUAGCAGUACUUCCAUCAUGUUAUUGGUCCCUGGGUAACAGCAGCAUUUUUCCGACUCAUGGCACUAGUUGUAUUGGUGAAAUGGCAUCUACCACCUGCUUCCUCCCUGGAAUGUCUCCAGCCCUUUUAAAGUUUUGAGUUUGAGGUGAAGAUAAGGAGCUGAGACAAGGGAAAAAGCCUAGCCACCUAUUAAAUCGGAGCCAACGAGAGACUAAAUACAUGAAAAGAACAACCUAAUAAACACAAUAAAGAGCAUAACACAGCC
Molecule: long non-coding RNA, 329 nt
Organism: Fukomys damarensis (Damara mole-rat)
Lineage: Eukaryota; Metazoa; Chordata; Mammalia; Rodentia; Bathyergidae
Source: Ensembl